Molecule: long non-coding RNA, 1601 nt
Filed under: Macaca fascicularis (crab-eating macaque)
Lineage: Eukaryota; Metazoa; Chordata; Mammalia; Primates; Cercopithecidae
Description: lncRNA (ENSMFAG00000063027.1)
Source: RNAcentral
GGGCCUCUCCUUCACUGACACGGAUCACCUGUAGGAAGAUGUGGCCACUGGAAGAUCUGGCAUGGCCAGGGCCACCUGACACCAUGCCUGGCCUCCUCGGACGUUUGCCACGUGGCCAGCUCCUCCUGAUCUUGCAGCGGUCUGGGUGCCGGGCGACCUUCCCUCCAGCACUCAGGCUGAUUGGCGGCGCUGCUGACGCCCUGCUCUCUGGGCCUGACGUCCAACACUGAGGUCGCAGACACAUGAGAGGUGCUGGAGGAGCGGGAGCUUUUUCGAGAGGCUUGUUGCCUCCCUGCAGGCACCUCACGGUGUAUACUUGCCCAUUACAGGAGCGGCGUUGGGAAGGAGACCUGGAAGGGGGCAUCUCAGGUCCAGGGCUCAGAAGCCACUGCACCCUUGGAAACCACUGCACCCUCUGGCCCCAGCCUCCUCCAAGGUCACCAUGAGCCAUCUGGGGGUGCAUCCAUCACACUCACCGAACACUUUGCUUCCGUGUUUACAAUGGGUGACUUGGUUCUUAAAAAUAAAAACGCCAACCCACGAAGACAUCCUAUAUACUUUAUCAGGGGCACGUCUUUGGCAGAGGAUUAGCCCAAGAGGGACAGAGGCCUUCUGGGGUCCGCUGCAGGGGGUGGGGGGACGUGCACUUCCUUCUCCCAAGACAUUUGCUCUGGGUCGUGGAGCUUCCGUAAGUGUGGAGGGGAUAUUGGGUGAUUGAAAUGCUUGGGAAUGAGAUUUUAGGAAACUUUGAGAAGAUACAAAUAGAAAUACGUUCGAUUAAGAACAAUCGACCAUCGAACAACAUAGGGGUUAGGAGCACCGACCCCCACCCAACUGAAAGUUGAAGGAUAAAGUUUAAUCCCCUCCACGGUGAGCUACGAAUAGCCUGCCCUGGACCAGAAGCUUGCUGAGAACAUGAAGAGCCGACGGACCCGUGUUUUGUACGCUCUGUGUUAUAUACUGGAUUCUUAUAAUAAAGUAAGCUAGAGAAAAAAAUGCUAUUAAGAAAGUCACCAGGAAGAGAAACCACAUCUCCUUUCAUUAAGUGGAAGCGACUGAUCCUAAAGGUCUCCACCCUCGUCGUCUUCAAGUUGAGUAGGCUGGGGAGGAGGAGGGGUUGGUCUCGCUGUCUCAGGGGUGGCAGACACGGAAGAAAAUCUCAGUGUAAAUGGACUCGUGCAGUUCAGACUCCAGUUGUUCAAGGGUCAACUGUCAUUCCAUCAUCAGUAAUUUUAUUAAAAUGGUGAAAAUAGUCCAAAUUCUUCCAACAAGUCAGGUUAGUGUUGUAAUUAAACAUCCAGGCUGAGCCGAGUGUGAUGGCUUACAACUAAUCCCAGCACUUUGGGAGGCUGAGGCGGGUGGAUCAUUUGAAGUCAGGAGUUCAAGACCAGCCUGGUCAACAUGGUGAAAUCCCAUCUCUACUAAAAAUACAAAAAUUAGCAAGGCGUGGUGGUGCACGCCUGUAAUCCCAGCUACUUGGGGGGCUGAGGCAGGAGAACUGCUUGAACUCAGAAGACAGAGGUUGCAGUGAGCCGAGAUCGCACGACUAUACUCCAGCCUGGGUGAUAGAGUGAGACUCUGUCUUAAAAAAAAAAAAAAAA